AUGUAUGGAAUUAUCAAAAAAAUGUUCACAUUUUUGAUAAUUGUUCAUGUUUCCAAGAGUAUUCGGCAAUUUAUAAUAAUAUUUAUUAUUAUUUUAAAAGUUCAAAUAAAAUCAAAAAAAUAUUUCAAAUCUGACGGUCAUUCCAGUGCAUGGGAUUUUCACAGACCGCAACGGUCGCCGCCUCCCUCGACCUCCACCACCUGCUGCAAGCCAGGCGCCGCCCUCCGGUCCUCGGAGGUGGCGGAUGAGCAGGGUGGCGCGUCGAGGUUGUUCGCGGGGGGCACUUACUUCGCCAUGGACAACAACACGUUCGCGGAGGCGCGCAUCAGGGCCGCUUUCUACCCCAAAUUCGAGAACGACAAGUCCGAUCAAGAGACAAGAAAACAGAUGAUUGAGAUGGUGUCGCGUGGCUUUGCUACCAUGGAGGUUACGCUGAAGCAUUCAGGAUCUCUAUUCAUGUAUGCUGGUCACCAUGGAGCAUAUUCCAAGAAUAGCUUUGGAAAUAUCUACACUGCUGUGGGCGUUUUUGGCCUGGACCGUAUGUUUCAUGAAGCUUGGGGAAAGGAAGCUCCUCAAAUACAAGCAGAAUUUAAUGAUUAUCUCCAGAAAAACCGGAUAAACAUUUCAAUGGAGCUUGUAACGGCUGAAUUAGGAGACCAUGGGCAAAGGCCAAAGGAUGAUUAUGCCGUGGUUACAGCUGUAACAGAGUUGGGUCAUGGCAAACCAAAGUUCUAUUCUACUCCAGACGUGAUUGCCUUUUGUCGAAAAUGGCGCCUAUCGACAAAUAAUGUCUGGCUAUUUUCCACAAGGAAAUCUGCUACUUCUUUUUUCGUUGCCUAUGAUGCAUUGUGUGAAGUGGGGACUGCCACACUGGUUUGCGAAGCCCUUGACAAAAUAGCUGAUAUAUCUGUACCAGGGUCCAAGGAUCAUUUAAAGGUACAGGGUGAGAUACUUGAAGGUCUGGUUGCCCGUAUUGUUAGUCAUCAAAGUUCAGAUCAAAUGAAAGAAGUCUUGAGAAGCCUCUCACAGGCUCCAUUACAUGGAGUUGAAUCUGAUUUAGGACCAAGUUUACGUGAAAUAUGUGCCGCUAAUAGGUCAGAUGAAAAGCAGAAAAUUAAAGCAGUUCUUGAAAAUGUCAGAUCUUCAAUGUGUCCAGACCACUCUGAUUGGUUUGGAAACAGUAGUCUUGAUGCUCAGUCUCGAAACACUGAUAAAUCACUUGUCACUUACUUUUUGGAAGCACAUCCUACAGACUAUGCAACUAAGAAAUUGCAGGAGAUGUUUCGUUUGAUGAAGCAGAGACAUUUCCCUGCAGCGUUCAAAUGUUACUUGAAUUACCAAAAUGUUGAUUCUCUUUCAUACAAGAUGGUUAUCCAUGUGCGCAAUGAUUCUAUUUGUAAACGUUAUCAGCAAGAGAUGAGGAAAAAUCAAGGGUUAUGGCCACUGUACAGGGGUUUCUUCAUUCAUAUAAACCUGUGCAAGGCGAACAAUAAGAAGGGCGCUGAACUUUCCGAAGACAGUAACACUUCACUGGAAAUUAUUGAUGGUGCCGUGGAUUCAAGUUCGUCAGCUCAGGAUGGUCUGGCUGGUGAGGAUUCAAGUUUGAUGCUCAAACUAAAAUUCCUGAAAUAUAAGAUCAGGACCUUUUUAAUUCGGGAUGGCCUCUCCACCCUUUUCAAUGAUGGCCCAUCUAAAUAUCGAGUUUAUUACCUGAAGCACAUGGGGAAUUGGGGAACAUCAGCACGUAAACAGAAAGAGCUUUGCAAACUGUUGGAUCAAUGGGCUGUCCACAUUACAUUAAAGUGUGGCAAUAAGCCACUCUCGUCCUCAGCGUAUCUUGAUGAGGCAGAGCCUUUCCUUGAACAAUAUGCUGACCAGGAUCUGGAUGAUCUUCAGCCAGAACGUGGGACAGCACCUUGUAGUCCUACAACGUCCCUCGACGUUGUUUCCAAAACUGAGGGCCUCGUUGUCUUCUUUCCUGGUAUACCUGGUUGUGCAAAGUCUGCUCUAUGUAAGGAAAUAUUGGAAAUGCCUGGUGGCCUUGGUGAUGAUCGCCCUCUUCAUUGUUUGACAGGAGAUCUUAUUGGAGGAAGAUACUGGCAUAAGGUUGCUGAUAAGCGAAAAGAGGAACCAUUUAGAAUAACCCUCGCCGAUAAAAACGCACGAAAUGAGAAAGUGUGGCGGCAGAUUGAGGAUAUAUGCCGGACCACAAAAGCAGCUGCUGCUCCUGUUAUUCCUGAUUCUGAAGGCACCGAUACAAAUCCAUUUUCUUUGGAAGCUCUUGCUGUUUUCAUGUUUCGUGUGCUCCAACGGGUCAAUCAUGAUGGACAUCUGGACGUGGCAUUAUGGAAUGCUGGUUAUGUUUUGAUGAGAUCAUCUCCAUUGCCUGGUGAUGUUAAAACUAUCUUAGAUGAGGUGCUUAGCUUAUUCAUUCAUGGAAGAGCGGAGCUAUUAGAAGGUUGGGCACAGUCACAGUGGGAGAAGAGGUUGCGUGAGAUCUUGUUCGGGAAUGCUGAUUAUCUUAAAUCCAUUCAGGUUCCCUUUGAGGUUGCUGUGAAAGAAGUAGUGGAACAGUUAAAGGCUGUGGCAAAAGGUGAUACCAAAACACCUGAUACUGCGAAGCGGAGGUUCGGCAAUAUCAUUUUCGCUGCUGUGACAUUAUCCCAGGCAGAUAUAUUGGGCCUUGUCCAGCAGGUUGCGGAGAACGACACUGAUGUCAACAAUUUUCUUAACGGCAUAAAAUUAGAGGAUAACCUGAUGAACGUGCAUGUCACCCUCGCCCACAAAAGAGCCCAUGGUGUAGCUGCAGUUGCAAGUUACAGCGUCUACCUGAACCAGAAAGUCCCCGUAUCGUUUAAUGCAUUCUUCUACAACGACAAGAUGGCUGCGCUCGGAGCACAUCUUGGAAUGGUAAAUGGCGAGGCUAUUGUCUCUAAAAAUGAUUUUCCACAUUGUACUCUAUGGACAGUCGGAGGUGUUGCACCAAAGGAAGCAAACACACUGCCACAGUUGGUUUCCGAAGGAGAAGCAAAGCGGGUGUUGAUCGACUCUCCUAUCACCAUCUCUGGAGUAGUAAACUUUUAUUGA
This 3087-nucleotide ribosomal RNA is filed under the name Triticum aestivum (bread wheat). RNAcentral describes it as "partial small subunit ribosomal RNA". Lineage: Eukaryota; Viridiplantae; Streptophyta; Magnoliopsida; Poales; Poaceae. The record is from RNAcentral.